UGCAGAAAUGCGAGAUGAUCCGCCAAAAGUGGAUGGUGCUACAGCUGCUGCAUGGCUGUCGUCAGCUCGUGCCGUGGGGUGUCUACUUAAGUGUAGAAACGAGCGCAACCCUUAUCCGAUGUUCAAUAGUCUUCGGAAACUGCCACGCGUAUAGCGAGGAGGAAGGAGGGGAUGACGUCAAGUCAGCAUGGCGCUUAUAUCUGGGGCCACACACAUCCUACAAUGGGAAGGUACAAUGGGUUGCCAAACCGCAAGGUGGAGCUAAUCCCAUCAAAACUUCCCUCAGUUCAGAUCGGGGUCUGCAACUCGACCCCGUGAAGCCGGACUUGGUAGUAAUCGCGAAUCAGCAGGUCGCGGUGAAUACGUUCUCGCCUCUUGUACACACCGCCCGUAAGGGC
This 398-nucleotide ribosomal RNA is filed under the name uncultured bacterium. RNAcentral describes it as "bacterial SSU rRNA". It matches the Rfam family "Bacterial small subunit ribosomal RNA", at positions 999 to 1403 of the family's 1533-position model. The record is from RNAcentral.